GAGUUUGAUCAUGGCUCAGGACGAACGCUGGCGGCACGCCUAACACAUGCAAGUCGAACGGAGAUAUUUUGGUUUACUGAGGUAUCUUAGUGGCGGACGGGUGAGUAACACGUGAGCAACCUGCCUCUGAGAGAGGGAUAGCUUCUGGAAACGGACGGUAAUACCUCAUAACAUAACGAAGCCGCAUGACUUUGUUAUCAAAGAUUUAUCACUCAGAGAUGGGCUCGCGUCUGAUUAGAUAGUUGGUGAGGUAACGGCUCACCAAGUCGACGAUCAGUAGCCGGACUGAGAGGUUGAGCGGCCACAUUGGGACUGAGACACGGCCCAGACUCCUACGGGAGGCAGCAGUGGGGAAUAUUGCACAAUGGGGGAAACCCUGAUGCAGCGAUGCCGCGUGGAGGAAGAAGGUUUUCGGAUUGUAAACUCCUGUCUAAAGGACGAUAAUGACGUACUAGAGAUUCGCCC
Molecule: ribosomal RNA, 465 nt
Filed under: uncultured Bacillota bacterium
Lineage: Bacteria; Bacillati; Bacillota
Description: bacterial SSU rRNA
Rfam family: Bacterial small subunit ribosomal RNA
Source: RNAcentral